GCAAUUGUAAGCUCAGAUUCCAGUUUUCAAGGAUUGGAUACACAUUGUCUGGACCAUGUUACGCAAGGUCUGUGGAUAAGGGAAGGAACAAUAUUUCCAUCAAAGGUUAUGGAAUGUCAUUUUCAGGGCUCUUCUUCACUUCGGAAGGUUGUUGAAGAACAAGUGGGUCAGUAUUUGAUCAAAUAGCAAUGCAAAUGUAUCCUAUAUCAAUUGUCAAGGUGGGUGUCACAGCCACUUAUUGAUGAAGCAAUUACAGCCCAUGAU
Pelobates cultripes (western spadefoot toad) is the source of this 264-nucleotide non-coding RNA. The record is from the annotation of a GenBank genome assembly. NCBI's taxonomy places the organism in Eukaryota, Metazoa, Chordata, Amphibia, Anura, Pelobatidae.